UUUUUCUACAGGGUGUAUUUGUGGUGCCAAAGAAGAAAGUAUGCAGCUACUUGAGAAUAGAGAACUCUUGCAAGUAAACCUGGAGAGUAAGGAUUCAGAGUGGAAUGGCAGUCUAUUCACUGAUUCUUUGCUGGAAAGAGAGAUCCUGCUGUUUAUGGACAGCCAUGAAUGAGGGAAAAAGUUGAAGUGUGAAGCCUGAUGGUGAGCCUAGACUGAGCAGACACCAAAUUGAACAGAAAGCAAUGUGAUUUUUCAGAAAUGAG
This 263-nucleotide long non-coding RNA is filed under the name Coturnix japonica (Japanese quail). RNAcentral's name for it is "lncRNA (ENSCJPG00005020042.1)". The record is from RNAcentral. Lineage: Eukaryota; Metazoa; Chordata; Aves; Galliformes; Phasianidae.